Molecule: signal recognition particle RNA, 99 nt
Filed under: Opitutia bacterium
Lineage: Bacteria; Pseudomonadati; Verrucomicrobiota; Opitutia
Also listed under: 1 other name
Description: signal recognition particle sRNA small type
Rfam family: Bacterial small signal recognition particle RNA
About the family: The signal recognition particle (SRP) is a universally conserved ribonucleoprotein involved in the co-translational targeting of proteins to membranes. Archaeal SRP consists of a 7S RNA and homologues of the eukaryotic SRP19 and SRP54 proteins. In most bacteria, the SRP consists of a 4.5S RNA and the Ffh protein (a homologue of the eukaryotic SRP54 protein).
Source: RNAcentral
GGUCGGGUCCCAUGCGACGCGUCUCAAACGAACCCCGUCAGGUCCGGAAGGAAGCAGCGGUAGUUAUGAGAAGUGUGUGCUGUGGGGUGCCUGGCCUUU